This 504-nucleotide ribosomal RNA is filed under the name uncultured bacterium. Its description in RNAcentral is "partial 16S ribosomal RNA". It matches the Rfam family "Bacterial small subunit ribosomal RNA", at positions 29 to 523 of the family's 1533-position model. The record is from RNAcentral.
AUUGAACGCUGGCGGCAGGCCUAACACAUGCAAGUCGAACGGUAGCACAGAGAGCUUGCUCUCGGGUGACGAGUGGCGGACGGGUGAGUAACGUCUGGGAAACUGCCCGAUGGAGGGGGAUAACUACUGGAAACGGUAGCUAAUACCGCAUAACGUCGCAAGACCAAAGUGGGGGACCUUCGGGCCUCACACCAUCGGAUGGUCCCAGAUGGGAUGAGCUAGUAGGUGGGGGAAUAGCUCACCUAGGCGACGAUCCCUAGCUGGUCUGAGAGGAUGACCAGCCACACUGGAACUGAGACACGGUCCAGACUCCUACGGGAGGCAGCAGUGGGGAAUAUUGCACAAUGGGCGCAAGCCUGAUGCAGCCAUGCCGCGUGUAUGAAGAAGGCCUUCGGGUUGUAAAGUACUUUCAGCGGGGAGGAAGGCGGUGAAGUUAAUAGCUUAACCGAUUGACGUUACCCGCAGAAGAAGCACCGGCUAACUCCGUGCCAGCCGCCGCGGUAA